RNAcentral lists this long non-coding RNA (1110 nucleotides) under Ananas comosus (pineapple). Its description in RNAcentral is "long non-coding RNA (ACOM_LNC003498)". The record is from RNAcentral. Lineage: Eukaryota; Viridiplantae; Streptophyta; Magnoliopsida; Poales; Bromeliaceae.
GGGCAUGCUACCGGGAGGGCCUCUGCCGGUCCCGGGGCGUGACAUCAAGUCCACAUCCAAACCUAACCCAAACCAAGUCCACAUAAAGAACCCAAACCCAUUCCACAAAUAAAAUCCAAACCAACCCAAACCAAGUCUAUAAAUAAACCCAAAAUUCAAACCGAAACCCGAACCCAAAACCAAAAUCCAAACCCAAUCCAAAUCAAGUCCACAAUCAAAAUCCAAAUCCAAAACCCAAAUCCAACUUCCAACUUAGGCUCAUGAACCUAAACCAUACCUAAGUUCGUGAACCAAAUCCCAAAUCCUAUACCCAAGUUCAUGAAUCAAGUCUCACGGACCAUACAACCAUACACCAAGUUCAUGAACCAUGAACCAUAAGCCAAGUUCAGAAACCUCAUCCAUGAACCAUAUCCAAGUUCAUGAACCAAAUCCCAUACACCAAACCUCAUAAACUAAACUUAUAAACCAUACACCAAGUUCAUGAACCAUGAAUCAUGAAUCAUGAUCCAAGUUCAUAAACCAAACCAAACCAAAUCUCAUGAACCAAAUCCCAUGAACCAUAUACGAAACCUCAUGGACCAUGAACCAAACCAUACCUAUGUUCAUGAACCAAGUCUCAUGAACCAAAUUUCAUGGACCAUACACCAAACCUUAUAAACAAUAACCAAAGUUCAUAAACCAAAUCCCAUCCCAUAGACUAUAUACCAAGCCUCAUGAACCAUACACCACAUCCCAUCCUAUGAACCAUACACCACAUCCUAUCCUAUGAGCCAUACACCAAACCAUACCCAAAUCUCAUGGACCAUAUCCAUGAACCAAACCUCAUGAGCCAAUAUCCAAAUCUCAUGAACUAUAUCCAUGAACCAAAUCUCAUGAGCCAAUACUCAAAUCUCAUGAACCAUAUCGCCUACCCCUAAUACAUAGGGCUAAGUCAAUCGCCUUAGUACAUAUAACUAAGGCAAAAUAUCUCCAAAAUCGACAGAGUUCUAAACUAUAUACUUAGAAUUCAAUCACAUGAUAUCAAGUUCAUUCGAAUUCUAACACAUAUACUUAGAGUUCAUCCGACUAACCCUAAUACAUACCCUUAGGGUCUGGUCAACCUUUUACUCU